RNAcentral lists this non-coding RNA (143 nucleotides) under Leptolinea tardivitalis. The record is from RNAcentral. Lineage: Bacteria; Bacillati; Chloroflexota; Anaerolineae; Anaerolineales; Anaerolineaceae.
ACACUUACAACAUUCUGAGGUUUCCUUAGAAAAGAUUCAGGGAAGCUGGUGAACUCUUUUAGAGUGAUUCCAGCACUGUGCCGCAACUGUGAACGGCUGACCUAGCCGCAAGUCAGGAUACCUGCCUUAGAAAAAAUACGGCC